RNAcentral lists this transfer RNA (68 nucleotides) under Marmota monax (woodchuck). RNAcentral describes it as "tRNA.Ala". The record is from RNAcentral. Lineage: Eukaryota; Metazoa; Chordata; Mammalia; Rodentia; Sciuridae.
GGAUUGUGGUUCAGUGGCAGAGUGCUUGUUUCGCACAUAUGAGGCACUGGGUUCAAUCCUCACCACCA